Molecule: transfer RNA, 64 nt
Filed under: Lixus subtilis
Lineage: Eukaryota; Metazoa; Arthropoda; Insecta; Coleoptera; Curculionidae
Description: tRNA-Pro
Source: RNAcentral
CAGGAAAUAGUUUAAUUAAAAUAUUAAUUUUGGAGAUUAAUGAUAGAAGGUUUUCUUUUCCUGA